CAAUUUAAAGCUUAAAAAGAUAAGUAUUUCAUUUACAUUGAGAAGGAUAUGUGCAAUUCAUAAUAAAUUGA
This 71-nucleotide transfer RNA is filed under the name Paradyschiria parvula. Its description in RNAcentral is "tRNA-Val". The record is from RNAcentral. Lineage: Eukaryota; Metazoa; Arthropoda; Insecta; Diptera; Streblidae.